Molecule: unclassified non-coding RNA, 1341 nt
Filed under: Hevea brasiliensis (rubber tree)
Lineage: Eukaryota; Viridiplantae; Streptophyta; Magnoliopsida; Malpighiales; Euphorbiaceae
Source: RNAcentral
UUUUUUUUUUUUUCUCUUUUUUAUUUUGAUUAGAUAUGUGUUUAAAAGGAAUGAAAUUAUAUCUUGCAUAUUUGUAAGCCUUUGUUGUUUCUGGCUGUACUGCUUCUUAGCUGAGAAAAUUGACGAGGGUUAAGCAUUUUAGGUCUAGUUUUAGGGUUUUUGUAAGCGCCGAAAUAAAACUUGUUCUGGCAAUAAUGCCAGUCCCAAUAGUUGAAUAAGAAAAUUUUCCAUCUAGAACAUUGGAUUGUCACCUGUGAAUGUCGGAGCUGAAGUUUCUUGACCCUCCUUUACAUCUGUUUAUUCCUUUAUAUUGCUCUCUGUUAAGAUGUAAUAUUGGGUUUAAGAUGUUAAAUUCUGGUAUUUUCUUUGUUACUCUGCACAUAACUCUCACCAAUAAAUAAAUUGGGUGGUUUGACUGUGACUUAGAGAUGAUUAUAAUUAUUUUUUUUUUUGGUUUAAUAUAGAUGCUUGCAUCUAUUUCCACUCUUCUUAAACCUAAACUCUAUCUGCUAUUUUUUUUUUAUUUGAAUGUUAAAAUUUAGUUUUUGACAUGGAUAAAGAUUAGACAAUUAUUCUAGAAAUUCUUUUUUCCGGUAUAUUCUCUUUUCUUUUUAACUGAUUGAGGGAAGAAAUGAAUGAGUGCAUAGUGCACAUUAAUUCUGUCUAAUUGUUCCUUGCUUUGUUCAUUAGAGUGUAAGCUGUAUCCUCAGUUUACUUUCAUAGGUCCCAUAGGCUUGAAGUAUAGCUCCCAAGUAGUAUGGUAGUGGUAUUGGUGGUUGUGUGAAUCGCCAGUAGGCAGCUACUCCCUCUCAGGGAGCAACACUAUUUGAGACUUCUGCAUCAUACAAGAAAUUGCAGGGGAAGUCCAAAGACGAGGCAUUGAGGUGCCCCCAACCUCCCAGUGGAUUGAAAUUGCGAAAACUAGAAUUGAAGAAAGAUGCAUGAGCAUUCUAGAAAUGAAAGGGUAGCAGUGCUGCCGAUGCUUGAUAUUUUUCUCAAUAAAUGUUUGUCCUAGAAGUGUUGUUGUGUGUGAGCUGUCUUCAAGGUGUAAGGUAUGGCUUCUAUAAGUUAAACUAUAGUUUCCAAUGUGCAACUAACAAUCAAGUGCAGGCUAAGGGGCCAAACAACUAUCCUCCUAAAGAGGACAAUGCUUAAUAAUUCUGUGAGCAAACUGCUUUUAUUGAUGUGCUGUCUGCUUGAAUUUGUCUCAAAUUGUGUCAUGAUUGUGAUGUGGCAAUGAUUUUAACCUUUCAAUACUCCACUGGAAAAAGGGUUCUUGUUUUGACAUGAAAGUUGUCUGGUUUUUAGGCUGCCAAAUAUCUAAACAUCAAGAGCUUGCUG